Molecule: ribosomal RNA, 1439 nt
Filed under: metagenome
Description: bacterial SSU rRNA
Rfam family: Bacterial small subunit ribosomal RNA
Source: RNAcentral
GGUGGAAGUCUAGUAGAGCGGCGAACGGGUGAGUACAAGGUGGGUAAUGUUCCUUCGGGUGGGGAAUAACUCCGGGAAACCGGGGCUAAUACCGCAUGUGGUCUUUCGGUUCACGGACUGGAAGAUCAAAGGUGCACGUCGAAAGGUGUGUGUCGCCCGAAGAUCGGCCCGCCCCCCAUUAGCUAGUUGGUAGGGUCAUGGCCUACCAAGGCUACGAUGGGUAGCUGGUCUGAGAGGAUGGUCAGCCACACUGGGACUGAGAUACGGCCCAGACUCCUACGGGAGGCAGCAGUCUAGAGGCUUCGGCAAUGGACGAAAGUCUGACCGAGCGACGCCGCGUGUGGGAUGAAGGCCUUCGGGUUGUAAACCACUGUCGGCAGGGAAGAAUACCGGGAUGGUGAAUCUCGGGGCGACGGUACCUGCAGAGGAAGCCACGGCUAACUCCGUGCCAGCAGCCGCGGUAAUACGGAGGUGGCAAGCGUUGUUCGGAAUUACUGGGCGUAAAGGGCGCGUAGGCGGAACGGUCCGUCCGAUGUAAAAGUGCUACCGCUUAACGGAGCAAAGUCAUCGGAUACCGCCGUUCUGGAGUCUGGGAGAGGUGAGUGGAAUUGCUGGUGUAGCGGUGGAAUGUACAGAUAUCAGCAAGAACACCUGUGGCGAAGGCGGCUCACUGGCCCAGUUCUGACGCUGAGUGCGCGAAAGCGUGGGGAGCAAACGGGAUUAGAUACCCCGGUAGUCCACGCCCCAAACGGUGGGCACUAGGUGUGGGAGGUAUCGACCCCUUCCGUGCCGCAGCUAACGCAUUAAGUGCCCCGCCUGGGGAGUACGGCCGCAAGGUUGAAACUCAAAGGAAUUGACGGGGGCCCGCACAAGCGGUGGAGCAUGUGGUUCAAUUCGAUGCAACGCGAAGAACCUUACCGGGGCUUGAACUGUGGGGUAAACCCGCCGAAAGGCGGGCUGCUUCGGCGAUCCCGCAGAGGUGCUGCAUGGCUGUCGUCAGCUCGUGUCGUGUGAUGUUGGGUUAAGUCCCGCAACGAGCGCAACCCCUAUCUCUAGUUACCAGCACGUCAUGGUGGGAACUCUAGAGAGACUGCCCGCGAUGAGUGGGAGGAAGGUGGGGAUGACGUCAAGUCCUCAUGGCCCUUAUGUCCCGGGCUACACACGUGCUACAAUGGCCGGUACAGAGAGGCGCAAGGCCGCAAGGCGGAGCCAAUCUCUAAAGCCGGCCCCAGUUCGGAUCGGAGUCUGCAACUCGACUCCGUGAAGUUGGAAUCGCUAGUAAUCGCGGAUCAGCACGCCGCGGUGAAUACGUUCCCGGGCCUUGUACACACCGCCCGUCACACCACGAAAGCUGGCUGUACCAGAAGUCGCCGAUCCAACCGCAAGGAGGUAGGCGCCGAAGGUAUGAUCAGUGAUUGGGGUGAAGUCGUAACAAGGUA